Phascolarctos cinereus (koala) is the source of this 402-nucleotide non-coding RNA. The record is from RefSeq and is a predicted model, not a curated record. Lineage: Eukaryota; Metazoa; Chordata; Mammalia; Diprotodontia; Phascolarctidae.
GGCGCUUCGGGUACACCCCGCAGGUGGCGGGAGGGCGGAACCUGAGGGUCCAGCUCGAGGGGCUGAAUAGCACCUGAGGCAUUCACCUGGAAAUUUUCAGGAAGACAAGAUUAGAGGAUCCUGUAUCUACAACUGAAAGGAACCUCAUGCGGGUUGCUACCCUGACCACAUAUAUGACACUAACCCCUAAGAAGUGGUUUAUGUCACACAAAAGGUGACUGACUGUCUUGAUAUUCUACUCAGCUUAAACUAGCUGUGUGGGUUGCCAAGGCCUGAAAAAGAAGAUGGGAUUGUUAACACUGUCACACGUGUUAGAAAGGAGAUGACUGGCACCAGACACCAACAGUCUGCAGAAAAGCAGAUGCUCCAUGUGUUUCUCAGGACAAACCUCACAAGUUUUAU